CUGACGACAAGGAGUACGAAUGGUCGGAGCCAGUAUCAGGGAAGCCCUCUUCCCCUACCACCACCAACUGGGGGCCCAUAGGGCACUCGGCAGCCUCCAGCCCUGCGGUAGCAGCCUGUAACUCCGACGCGGCGGCCGCAGCGGCUGCGCCCUCUGCGGCUGCAAACUCCACUUGCACUGUAAGAUCGAUGGGCUUCACGUCUUCUCCAGUGGGAGUGAUGGGCGCCGGCUGCACGGAUCCCGGAGCCUGACUGCUGUCUACAGCGGCCUGAAGGGUGAGAAGCACGGCCGCGGAAGCAGAUACCAGGUUCGGCUGCAGCUGGGCAGUCUGGGCAGUGGAGGCAGAGGAUUCUGGGAUAGUGAACUCCACGGAAGACUCAGAAACCAAGUUCUAAUUCAGUUGCCAUGAAAACUUAAGGUGAGAGGAUUGUCAACCAGUGAAAAAUACGGAGGAAAACACUAACAGAAUAUGAUGAAGAAGCCAAGACUUGGGCUGCUUGCAUUACAUUAACCGAGGUUUACCCGCAGCGAGGCUGCCUCCAAAGCAUCCGGAGUUUGCAACCAUCACUGUCCACCCCGCGAGCUGCAAUAGUGCGAGA
RNAcentral lists this small RNA (599 nucleotides) under Pan troglodytes (chimpanzee). Its description in RNAcentral is "processed transcript". The record is from RNAcentral. Lineage: Eukaryota; Metazoa; Chordata; Mammalia; Primates; Hominidae.